RNAcentral lists this ribosomal RNA (375 nucleotides) under uncultured Anaplasma sp. Its description in RNAcentral is "bacterial SSU rRNA". It matches the Rfam family "Bacterial small subunit ribosomal RNA", at positions 75 to 482 of the family's 1533-position model. Lineage: Bacteria; Pseudomonadati; Pseudomonadota; Alphaproteobacteria; Rickettsiales; Anaplasmataceae. The record is from RNAcentral.
GUAGCUUGCUACGGGGAUAAUUAGUGGCAGACGGGUGAGUAAUGCAUAGGAAUCUACCUAGUAGUAUAGGAUAGCCACUAGAAAUGGUGGGUAAUACUGUAUAAUCCCUGCGGGGGAAAGAUUUAUCGCUACAUGAUGAGCCUAUGUUAGAUUAGCUAGUUGGUAGGGUAAAGGCCUACCAAGGCGAUGAUCUAUAGCUGGUCUGAGAGGAUGAUCAGCCACACUGGAACUGAGAUACGGUCCAGACUCCUACGGGAGGCAGCAGUGGGGAAUAUUGGACAAUGGGCGCAAGCCUGAUCCAGCUAUGCCGCGUGAGUGAGGAAGGCCUUAGGGUUGUAAAACUCUUUCAGUGGGGAAGAUAAUGACGGUACCCAC